RNAcentral lists this long non-coding RNA (2136 nucleotides) under Nicotiana tabacum (common tobacco). Its description in RNAcentral is "long non-coding RNA (NTAB_LNC008164)". The record is from RNAcentral. Lineage: Eukaryota; Viridiplantae; Streptophyta; Magnoliopsida; Solanales; Solanaceae.
UGCAGUAAAAAGAACUCUUUAUAAAUAGCUAUCACCAAGUGUAUAGAUUGCUAACAUAAGACAUCUGCUCAAAUAAUUUGAACUUAAGCAAAUCUUAUGAGGCUAGGAAAAUAGUGUCAUCUUGACCAACAAAUACGACUAUAAGCAUGCAGAGUAUAAAAUAAGGAGCUGCUGAACAUUUAACAUUAAAUUAGAGGCCAACACAGAAGAAUACAGUAGCAGACUUAUCAUUUUACACACUAUAAGGAAACUUGUAUAUCAAUUUCAGGCCUAGAUCUACUAAUUCUAAGUAGAAUAAGAAACUAGAAAAAAGAAGUAAAAAGAAUAAAAAGCUUGAAAGAACAUAAGAAUUAAGAACUGAAUAUGACUGAUUCCAUCAAUUUCACAAUACUCAUAUAUCCUCCACAUAGGCAUGCUUCAUAUCCAAUUUAUAGUCCAAGGUUCAAAAGAGGUACCUGAUUGCAAUGAAUCAAAGAAAAAUCAGAAAAUAAAUCUCUGAAAGUGCAGAAUAUCAACAGGAAAAUAACUUCAAUUCAACAGCAAAAUCCCAGCAGCUCAACAAAGAAAAAUACAGAAAACAAAUGAAACAAAGGCAAGGCUAAACCUCUGUUUUUUAUUUAUUUAUUUUAUUUAAAAAAUAUGUAUUUUUUAACUUCUUUGAGGUGAGAAGAUGCAUGAAAAAGAAAUCAGAGAUGAAAGAGGAGUCAAUUUGUGUGUGAGAUGAGGUAAUAUCUCUCUGAAAAAUGCAGAAUGAAUAGUGUCUAAAAAUGCAGAAAUCCCUGUGGAGAAGAGAGUCAAUCCUCUUCAAAAUGCAGAUCGGAAUGUGUGUUAUAUGAGAGAAUGAGAGAUGGCGUAGGAGAAUCUGUCAGCCCCUAAAAAAAGGGGGAAAAUAUCUUUUUAACAGAUUUUGGACAGCUGUCCUAUUCCAAUUAUUCUUUUCUUUCUCUUUACGCAUUUUUACUUUCUGUAUUUACUCUUCAAUCCUAACACCUAGCAAUUUAAUUUUUUUUUAUUGCAAAUUAGCCACUCCUAGAAGCUUCCUAAAUAACUAACUAAGAUUCCCAAACCUUCAUACCCUCUUAGCCCCCUUACGUUUCUAUUCUUACAGAUUUUGCUCCUAAAGCCAGCUUGAAUUGGGCCUAAUUCUGAGCCUUGUUCCUAGCCCAAUCUACACUCCUAGGUCUAAAGCAAAAAUUAAUCAGAUCUCACAAAGCUUGUGCAUCACUAAUUGAAUUUUGGAAUUCAUUCAAAAUCAGAAUUUGAUCUCUAAUAGACUAGAAACUUAGAAUUAACAGAGUUCAAAGGCGAAGACAAAAUUAAACACACAUAGGCAUGCUCAGAAACUAAUCAACAAAAAACAGCAAAUUCAGACUAGAUUAGAAUCAUCAAACCAAACCAACCUAAAAUGUAAUUAACCUAAUUCAAAAUUGUAAUCAAUUAUCCAACAAAAUAUGCAAAUCAGGUUUAUUAACUAAUGCGUAAUCACACACAAAAAAAGCUAAUUAACAUUUCUGGCAUCAAUAACCAACUAAACUGUCAUGAAGAGAAAGGAGAACGAGAUGUACCUAGACGGAACUCGAAUUGGAAUGACAAGGUUUCAAGGGCUCUGAUUGGUCAGCAACUGAUUGACCAAAAUCCGACGGCUUCGGAAUGAACCAAAACCAACGUCAAUCAAUUGUUCUUGUUAAGAACAAUCGAUCGACGUAGGUUCUAGGUCAAAACGAGUUGAAAUCGCCAAAGAAAUCAGAAAAGAGGAAAAGAUAGGUUUUCUGGAAUUUAGAUCUAAAAAUCGGGGAACCCUAGGGUGUUUUGGAGGAAAUUAAGAGGAAAUAUAGGAUGAGGAGGAGGUGGGGAUUGUCGGGCGAAGAUUUGGGGGUGUUUGGAGUGGUGCCUCCACCGUGGGCGAUUUCCGGCUACGGCUUUGGGCGGAGGAUGAGAGAGAGGAGAAGAAGGUAUCUAGGAAGGGUUUUGGGGGUAGGGGUUCUUGAUUCAGACAGUUAUAAGGGAAUGGGGAAUUGAGUUCCUGGCCGUUGGAUCAACAUUGAGGGACGGCUAAGAUUUGAUCUAAUCAACCUAAUCUAAAAUGACGUCGUUUGGUUGUUGAAAAGGCUGGACCGAUUUUGGAGUGGACUGGGG